GUGAGUAACGCGUAUCCAACCUUCCCAUGACUAAGGGAUAACCUGCCGAAAGGCAGACUAAUACCUUAUGGUCUUCACUGACGGCAUCAGAUGUGAAGUAAAGAUUUAUCGGUUAUGGAUGGGGAUGCGUCUGAUUAGCUUGUUGGCGGGGUAGCGGCCCACCAAGGCAACGAUCAGUAGGGGUUCUGAGAGGAAGGUCCCCCACAUUGGAACUGAGACACGGUCCAAACUCCUACGGGAGGCAGCAGUGAGGAAUAUUGGUCAAUGGGCGAGAGCCUGAACCAGCCAAGUAGCGUGCAGGAUGACGGCCCUAUGGGUUGUAAACUGCUUUUGUAUGGGGAUAAAGUCAAUCACGUGUGAUUGUUUGCAGGUACCAUACGAAUAAGGACCGGCUAAUUCCGUGCCAGCAGCCGCGGUAAUACGGAAGGUCCGGGCGUUAUCCGGAUUUAUUGGGUUUAAAGGGAGCGUAGGCUGGAGAUUAAGUGUGUUGUGAAAUGUAGACGCUCAACGUCUGACUUGCAGCGCAUACUGGUUUCCUUGAGUACGCACAACGUUGGCGGAAUUCGUCGUGUAGCGGUGAAAUGCUUAGAUAUGACGAAGAACUCCGAUUGCGAAGGCAGCUGACGGGAGCGCAACUGACGCUGAAGCUCGAAGGUGCGGGUAUCGAACAGGAUUAGAUACCCUGGUAGUCCGCACAGUAAACGAUGGAUGCCCGCUGUUGGUACCUGGUAUCAGCGGCUAAGCGAAAGCAUUAAGCAUCCCACCUGGGGAGUACGCCGGCAACGGUGAAACUCAAAGGAAUUGACGGA
RNAcentral lists this ribosomal RNA (809 nucleotides) under uncultured Prevotella sp. RNAcentral's name for it is "bacterial SSU rRNA". It matches the Rfam family "Bacterial small subunit ribosomal RNA", at positions 106 to 917 of the family's 1533-position model. The record is from RNAcentral. Lineage: Bacteria; Pseudomonadati; Bacteroidota; Bacteroidia; Bacteroidales; Prevotellaceae.